UACGUCGGUUGCGAGCGUUAAUCGGAAUUACUGGGCGUAAAGCGUGCGCAGGCGGCGCGUUAAGUCAGGUGUGAAAGCCCCGAGCUUAACUUGGGAAUUGCGCUUGUGACUGGCGUGCUGGAGUGUGGCAGAGGGAGGUGGAAUUCCACGUGUAGCAGUGAAAUGCGUAGAGAUGUGGAGGAACACCGAUGGCGAAGGCAGCCUCCUGGGCCAGCACUGACGCUCAUGCACGAAAGCGUGGGGAGCAAACAGG
Molecule: ribosomal RNA, 253 nt
Filed under: uncultured bacterium
Lineage: Bacteria
Description: partial 16S ribosomal RNA
Rfam family: Bacterial small subunit ribosomal RNA
Source: RNAcentral